RNAcentral lists this non-coding RNA (100 nucleotides) under Thermanaeromonas toyohensis. RNAcentral describes it as "Guanine sequence". It matches the Rfam family "Purine riboswitch aptamer". From Rfam's summary of the family: Riboswitches are metabolite binding domains within certain messenger RNAs that serve as precision sensors for their corresponding targets. Lineage: Bacteria; Bacillati; Bacillota; Clostridia; Neomoorellales; Neomoorellaceae. RNAcentral also lists the same sequence under 1 other name. The record is from RNAcentral.
CUUAAUUUAUAGCUUAACCUUCGUAUAACCCCAGCAAUAGGGCUGGGGGUCUCUACCAGGUGACCGGAAUCACCUGACUACGAAGGGGAAAAUCCUUUUC